Molecule: ribosomal RNA, 515 nt
Filed under: uncultured bacterium
Lineage: Bacteria
Description: partial 16S ribosomal RNA
Rfam family: Bacterial small subunit ribosomal RNA
Source: RNAcentral
GAUGAACGCUGGCGGCGUGCCUAAUACAUGCAAGUCGAGCGAAUGGAUUAAGAGCUUGCUCUUAUGAAGUUAGCGGCGGACGGGUGAGUAACACGUGGGUAACCUGCCCAUAAGACUAGGAUAACUCCGGGAAACCGGGGCUAAUACCGGAUAACAUUUUGAACCGCAUGGUUCGAAAUUGAAAGGCGGCUUCGGCUGUCACUUAUGGAUGGACCCGCGUCGCAUUAGCUAGUUGGUGAGGGAACGGCUCACCAAGGAAACGAUGCGUAGCCGACCUGAGAGGGUGAUCGGCCACACUGGGACUGAGACACGGCCCAGACUCCUACGGGAGGCAGCAGUAGGGAGUCUUCCGCAAUGGACGAAAGUCUGACGGAGCAACGCCGCGUGAGUGAUGAAGGCUUUCGGGUCGUAAAACUCUGUUGUUAGGGAAGAACAAGUGCUAGUUGAAUAAGCUGGCACCUUGACGGUACCUAACCAGAAAGCCACGGCUAACUACGUGCCAGCAGCCGCGGUAA